AUACGGAGGAUCCGAGCGUUAUCCGGAUUUAUUGGGUUUAAAGGGAGCGUAGGCGGACGCUUAAGUCAGUUGUGAAAGUUUGCGGCUCAACCGUAAAAUUGCAGUUGAUACUGGGUGUCUUGAGUACAGUAGAGGCAGGCGGAAUUCGUGGUGGUGCGGUGAAAUGCUUAGAUAUCACGAAGAACUCCGAUCGCGAAGGCAGCUCACCGGGCCGGAACUGACACUGAUGCUCGAAAGUGCGGGUAUCAAACAGGAUUAGAUACCCUGGUAGUCCGCACAGUAAACGAUGAAUACUCGCUGUUUGCGAUAUACGGUCGGUGGCCAAGCGAAAGCGUUAAGUAUCCCACCUGGGGAGUACGCCGGCAACGGUGAAACUCAAAGGAAUUGGCGGGG
This 393-nucleotide ribosomal RNA is filed under the name uncultured bacterium. RNAcentral's name for it is "partial 16S ribosomal RNA". It matches the Rfam family "Bacterial small subunit ribosomal RNA", at positions 523 to 918 of the family's 1533-position model. The record is from RNAcentral.